CAUAAACAUCUAUGUGGCAUUCAUGUGAUAGCUGGUUUUUCGUAGAAAGCCAACAAGCAAACAAAGGCGUUCGUUUUAUUAGUCGCGCCGCAAGCAGGCUGUGUCCCUCUACGCGAGAUAGACUUUUUUUAUUGGCUGCAUUUAGGCGGAGGUUUGCGCCUAUAGGUAACGCCGGCUACUCCGCUCCUGUGACAUGGUAGAUUUAAUUUGUUGAUAACGUCUCCAAUCAAUGUGCUCUCGUGCGUAUUCAAACCGCUAAAUGCCAAUAGCGGGAGAUCAAAAAUUGAGGAUAGCUGACAUUUUGUCUGAUUUCAACGGUGCACUACCGUAAAGCGGCAUUCUUCUCUUUUCUAUGCCUUCUGAUGGCGCUGUCAUCAUAAAAGAUAAGAGAGAUAGAUAAGCAAAUGAAUUGCAGCGAAGCUCGCCACACAUAACGCAUAAGUAUAACUGUCAUAAUUUUAGAUAUAGACACAUUUUCCCCUUUAGUAUGAUGGGGUGGCUCUCAUGUUAUGUAAGGUUUUGUGCUGUCUUGCAUUUCAUACCUUUCUUUUCCGACAAGCCUUUCCGGUGGCAGUUAGCACACAAUUCGGCACGUUGAGGAUAAGCUUAAUGGACGUCGAAACAAUUAAUCCAUUCAUUUUUUUUUCGAUUACAAGCGGGUCAUACUUCAUUGUCAGACGUGUACGUAUCUUAUCGUUUUCCGCUGCGCCUCCUCCGUUGUACCUCUAUUUGGUCAUUGUUCUAAGCUACGAUAGUCUUCCGGUGCACUAUCAGUGGUACGGUUGCAGCAGCCAGGCAUGAAGUUCGCGUGCUUUCGAACCGGCUUGCUGCUCACUCCUUUCUUGCUGCAAGCGAUGAGCGUCUGCUCGGCUUACAGUUGCCGCCAACCGCCAGGCGGUUGCCCACUGCCGACGCCCGAGAAAUCGGUCCGGCUAUUCUUCUUCGAUCCUGUGUGGCAAGGGUGCAUUGACAUUGAGACGAGUGGGUGCGGACCGUACGGCUGGCCGACGCUAUACCACUGCAAGUUUUUCUGCAAGCCCGUGCUAUGAACACGCGAUCAGCUCGGCUGCCGAAGCGUCGCAAGGAACGUUUGCAGCUCAUGGACUAGCAAGCGCUGUUAUUCUUCGCGGUGAAUGUGCCUGAGCAGGUGCUCGAAAAACGAGAAACUUCAUUAAAGUAUAUCGUUCGAACUUA
Long non-coding RNA from Dermacentor andersoni, 1194 nucleotides. RefSeq lists it as uncharacterized. The record is from RefSeq and is a predicted model, not a curated record. Lineage: Eukaryota; Metazoa; Arthropoda; Arachnida; Ixodida; Ixodidae.